Molecule: unclassified non-coding RNA, 417 nt
Filed under: Dracocephalum forrestii
Lineage: Eukaryota; Viridiplantae; Streptophyta; Magnoliopsida; Lamiales; Lamiaceae
Description: partial external transcribed spacer
Source: RNAcentral
GAACCGCUGGGGCACGGCAGGAGACCGAACCGAGGGUCGUUCGCACGAAGCGUAGAAUGCUUUUUGACUGAAUCUCCGAGGUCGAGGACCCCGUACCCACAUGAUAUUCCGCACUCGAGAGACCGAGCGAACCGUCGUGGUUCGUCGGGCCAGACGCCGUUUCACGGGCGAACGGGGCGCGAGACACGACGGGCGCUGUUUGGCCCACCCCGCACCGCCAACCCUUGAAAAGCAGCAGUACGAGAUGGGAAUGGGACGAUGGUAGCCGGUAGAAUGCCCUCGUGAUAGGUAUACAGCACAGGAAAACCAACGCCGGACGAGCACUUUUGCUCGCGCCAACAACUGCAAAGACGCGGACGGGAUGUCGUCGCUGCCUGAGCAGGGAUCCGACAUGCCGUUGCGCGCCAACCACCACUC